UACGAAGGGGGCUAGCGUUGUUCGGAUUUACUGGGCGUAAAGCGCACGUAGGCGGAUCUUUAAGUCAGAGGUGAAAUCCCAAGGCUCAACCUUGGAACUGCCUUUGAUACUGGGGAUCUUGAGUCCGGGAGAGGUGAGUGGAACUGCGAGUGUAGAGGUGAAAUUCGUAGAUAUUCGCAAGAACACCAGUGGCGAAGGCGGCUCACUGGACCGGCAUUGACGCUGAGGUGCGAAAGCGUGGGGAGCAAACAGG
This 253-nucleotide ribosomal RNA is filed under the name uncultured bacterium. Its description in RNAcentral is "partial 16S ribosomal RNA". It matches the Rfam family "Bacterial small subunit ribosomal RNA", at positions 524 to 776 of the family's 1533-position model. The record is from RNAcentral.